This is a non-coding RNA of Schizosaccharomyces pombe (fission yeast), 256 nucleotides long. The record is from the annotation of a GenBank genome assembly. Lineage: Eukaryota; Fungi; Ascomycota; Schizosaccharomycetes; Schizosaccharomycetales; Schizosaccharomycetaceae.
AAGAAUGUGAAAUAAAUCUACGCAAGUUUUAAAAAUUUUGAAAAUCCUAGUUUGGCAGAUGUGGAAAGUUAGAGGAAACCAAAAAGUAAAGUUAUACCAAGCUUCCAAAUUACCUGAUUUGUAAGAUUUUAUAAGUGUAAAUACAAAUGAAGGUAAAGGGAUAAGAAAAAUAUUUAAUUAAUCACGAGAAAUUGUAAAACUGAUUAUAUUCGACGUGAAAUAAACCAAGGAGGAAAUGGGAGUGUUAUUGGUGAGG